CAAACUAUUUAUAAAAUAGAGAAUCGCAUAACAUAUUCUUUGAACACUACAACAAACAUGGCCUUCCAUGACUUUUAUAAAACAUGCUAUGAAAUAUAAAAGGGAAAAAAAGGCGCUGAAGACUAAAAAGAAAAAAAUUGGUUCGAUACCAAAAAUUCGGAAAAUGAAGCUCGCCUUCAAAACCCUUCCUUUUAUUUUGUUUUUUUCCUUUUCUUCUCGCCUGCCCUCCUCAUUGCCCCUCAAAUAAAAAAUUGGUCUCUUUUCUCCUUUCCUUUUGCCCACAAAUUUCUCAUCAAUAGUCUAAAUUUAGUCUUCCAUUUUCGCCAGCUCCCUUGUUUUCUUCCUCCUCUUUCUUCCAUUCUGAAUCAACUUUACAUUAGGAAGGAUUUUUUUUUUUCAGUCUUCAAGUUAUGAGAUACACAUGAAAGAGAAUGAGAUCAGGAAAGUGCCUUUUUAUUGGGUAAUCACUACCAUGCAUACUUCGUAUUUGCCGAUGAUGCUGGUCUUCUCAAAGGUGCUUUUUGACGAUUUGGAAAAAUUAGGCACAAAUUCAGGCAUAGGAUUGCAGAGAUAUCACCAGAAGAAGAAAAUGAUCUCACUCCAUCACCGCAAUCCACAAAAGCAAGGAUCACCGCAAGGAUGGAUGCAUCAAUACACAAUGUGGGCGACAACGCAAAAUUUGGG
Long non-coding RNA from Benincasa hispida (wax gourd), 684 nucleotides. RefSeq lists it as uncharacterized. Lineage: Eukaryota; Viridiplantae; Streptophyta; Magnoliopsida; Cucurbitales; Cucurbitaceae. The record is from RefSeq and is a predicted model, not a curated record.